AGUGAACGCUGGCGGUAGGCCUAACACAUGCAAGUCGAACGGCAGCACAGUAAGAGCUUGCUCUUACGGGUGGCGAGUGGCGGACGGGUGAGGAAUACAUCGGAAUCUACUUUUUCGUGGGGGAUAACGUAGGGAAACUUACGCUAAUACCGCAUACGACCUACGGGUGAAAGCAGGGGAUCUUCGGACCUUGCGCGAUUGAAUGAGCCGAUGUCGGAUUAGCUAGUUGGCGGGGUAAAGGCCCACCAAGGCGACGAUCCGUAGCUGGUCUGAGAGGAUGAUCAGCCACACUGGAACUGAGACACGGUCCAGACUCCUACGGGAGGCAGCAGUGGGGAAUAUUGGACAAUGGGCGCAAGCCUGAUCCGGCCAUACCGCGUGGGUGAAGAAGGCCUUCGGGUUGUAAAGCCCUUUUGUUGGGAAAGAAAAGCAGCAGGUUAAUACCCCGCUGUUCUGACGGUACCCAAAGAAUAAGCACCGGCUAACUUCG
This 490-nucleotide ribosomal RNA is filed under the name uncultured bacterium. RNAcentral describes it as "partial 16S ribosomal RNA". It matches the Rfam family "Bacterial small subunit ribosomal RNA", at positions 29 to 505 of the family's 1533-position model. The record is from RNAcentral.